AGCGAACGCUGGCGGCAGGCCUAACACAUGCAAGUCGAACGAACCUUUCGGGGUUAGUGGCGGACGGGGGAGUAACACGUGGGAACGUGCCUUUAGGUUCGGAAUAACUCAGGGAAACUUGUGCUAAUACCGAAUGUGCCCUUCGGGGGAAAGAUUAAUCGCCUUUAGAGCGGCCCGCGUCUGAUUAGCUAGUUGGUUGAGGUAAUGGCUCACCAAGGCGACGAUCAGUAGCUGGUCUGAGAGGAUGAUCAGCCACAUUGGGACUGAGACACGGCCCAAACGCCGACGGGACGAAGCAGUGUGGAAUCCUGCGCAAGGCGGGAAAGCCUGAAGAAGCCAUGCCGCGUGACAGAUGAACGUCUUAGGAUUGCACCAUUCUGUUACCGGUUACGAGAAUGACGGUACAAGGAGAAGAUGACACGGCUAACUUCAUG
This 434-nucleotide ribosomal RNA is filed under the name uncultured bacterium. RNAcentral's name for it is "partial 16S ribosomal RNA". It matches the Rfam family "Bacterial small subunit ribosomal RNA", at positions 29 to 507 of the family's 1533-position model. The record is from RNAcentral.